CUCAGCACUGACAGAAGAGUCGGCACAGAGAUGAGAUGACGAGGCGGAGAAGAAUAUGCGAUUGACACAUUUAGGAGAGAAGUAGGAGCGGGAGUGAGAGAACAGAGAGAAACACGAGGCUGCUGUAAUCUGACUCGAACAGAAAUGACACCGACCUUGGCUCCUUUCUUGCAGAGGAGGCUGACGAUAUCAGCGUGUCCUGCAGCGGCGGCCAGACAGAGGGGCGUCAUGCCGUUGUCAGUGGUGCCUUCUAUAGGAGCGCCCAUUUCAAGCAGCAGAGCUACCAUCUCCACAUGGCCCAGGUGUGUAAAGGUUCCUCAGGGAGGCCAGCGCUGCGGACAGACUGUCUGUGCUGCAGCUCACCCACAUGGCCUGGAGAACGCUGGAGGACACACCUGUCUUCUUACUGAGGCCCUGUGAAUGUGUGAAAGAGAGAGCGAGACAGAAAAAAGAGAGCGAUUUAGCGAUUAUGAGAUCUGUGGUGCGGAAUUUGAAUCGUGUCCCAGGAGUAAAGCAGUAUGUACAGAAUGCAAGCCAUGCAUGCCAACACUGCAAUAUUCACUGUACCGGGUGUUUAUCUAUAUGGGUAGUGCUAAUUUGUGUGGGUGAUGGUAGGGCCAGGGGUUCAAGCUUAUAUACGUGGUUCUUAGCAUGUUUCUGUGCUGUAACAUACAGUGAAGUGCAGGAUGUUGUUUGCAUGAAGCUGUGGGAAUCAUGGAGAGCCACAAAGGUUUAGGUACAAUCAGUUCCAGUCAUAAGCCUACAUAACGACUUACAUUACAUUACAUUGUAUCACAGUUCACGUUACCUUGAAUAUGUGAGCUUUGAGGAUGUGGUGUCCCAGUUCCAUAGUCUGCUGCCGGUUCAGUUUUCCCUCCUGUCUGGAGAACAUGAAGGCCAGGAGAGCAUGGCCACUCCUGUGUGUGAAUAUAGUGCUUAUUAAUCAGAAAUUGACUACCGUCAUGCUCUGCUGACAAAAAUCUCUUUUCCGACAAGAAUUUACAUACGUUUUUCUUGGUAUAUUCACAGCUUAGUCUCACCUCGGGUCGCAGAGAAAGUCUGAGCUCUCUCCGUCCGCUCUCCACACCAACCACUCUCUGAAGGAGGGAUGACACAGCAUCCGCGUGCCAUCCCUUCGUCUCACCUACAAACACAAAUGAUACAGAAAAUUGCUAAGCUGUAAAGGUGCAAUUAGUUGACAUAUUCAGACAUGUUUUUGUCCAUCCAGAUAGUGUAAGUCCUUUAGGGACGGCCUCUAAAUCACUGUGUACGUGAAAAUGAAAUUAACAAAACAAAUACAACAUUUAAACCUCUGAAACAAAAGCUCUAAUCAUUAUGUACUCUCCUCAGCAGUCAUGUCAAUAAUCUUACCAUGAAUCCAG
Scatophagus argus is the source of this 1382-nucleotide long non-coding RNA. RefSeq lists it as uncharacterized. The transcript is spliced from 3 exons. The record is from RefSeq and is a predicted model, not a curated record. Lineage: Eukaryota; Metazoa; Chordata; Actinopteri; Scatophagidae.